This 490-nucleotide ribosomal RNA is filed under the name uncultured bacterium. Its description in RNAcentral is "partial 16S ribosomal RNA". It matches the Rfam family "Bacterial small subunit ribosomal RNA", at positions 29 to 506 of the family's 1533-position model. The record is from RNAcentral.
AGUGAACGCUGGCGGUAGGCCUAACACAUGCAAGUCGAACGGCAGCACAGUAAGAGCUUGCUCUUACGGGUGGCGAGUGGCGGACGGGUGAGGAAUACAUCGGAAUCUACUUUUUCGUGGGGGAUAACGCAGGGAAACUUACGCUAAUACCGCAUACGACCUACGGGUGAAAGCAGGGGAUCUUCGGACCUUGCGCGAUUGAAUGAGCCGAUGUCGGAUUAGCUAGUUGGCGGGGUAAAGGCCCACCAAGGCGACGAUCCGUAGCUGGUCUGAGAGGAUGAUCAGCCACACUGAAACAGAGACACGGUCCAGACUCCUACGGGGGGCAGCAGUGGGGAAUAGUGGAAAAGGGGCGCAAGCCUGAUACAGCCAUACCGCGUGGGUGAAGAAGGCCUUCGGGUUGUAAAGCCCUUUGUUGGGAAAGAAAAGCAGCAGGUUAAUACCCCGCUGUUCUGACGGGACCCAAAGAAUAAGCACCGGCGAACUUCGG